Molecule: long non-coding RNA, 701 nt
Organism: Apus apus (common swift)
Lineage: Eukaryota; Metazoa; Chordata; Aves; Apodiformes; Apodidae
Exons: 2
Source: RefSeq, a predicted model, not a curated record
CCUGCAAGCAAAGGUUAGUUUAGGUAUUAGGUUAAUGACGUAAGUAACAAAAUUGUAUAUAAUGCUUCCCUCAAAACUCUGUAUGUAUUUAUAGCAUUCUUUGCUGUCUAAGCAGAGAAAUUUCAUUACUUGAGUAUGCCUUCUUGUUUUAAUCUGUCCUUAUCUUUGUCAUACUGUUUUACCUCAGUUGAAUGUUUAUAGAUGAAGUUAUGAACUCUUCCAGCUUUUCCAGUUUGAAGAGGAAAAAUCAAGAGCACAAAUCAACAAGCAAUAGCUCUGAAAGCCAACACAGCUGUCAAACAGCAAGAAGGUUUUGUUUCCCUCUUAUACUGCUCAAUUGCUAAUUAUAUUCUAGUUAUUACGUUUGUAUUUAUUUUUAAAGGCUAACACACCCAUAGCUUUACUUAAUUACGGUGGGAUUAAAUAAGCAUGAAUAAUAAAAGUAUUUGUUAUUCUGGGGCAAUGAACUGAAACUUUUUAUGCAGCCAUGAAUUGAGAAGAGGGAUAAAUGAAUUGGAGACCACUAGAAAAAAUAAUUCAGGUCUCAGAAAUGAAGCUGCAUCUGGAAAACUCAAAAUCAUACCAUAAGCUGAGCACAGUAUUGAUAAUGUUGUAAAUUUAUGCUAGGGAAUAUGACAAGAUUUAAUAUUGCUAUUUUAAAUGCUAUAUUCUCUUUAAAUAAAGAAAAUGGAAUGUCUUAA